UCCCUUAGUAGCGGCGAGCGAACGGGGAUGAGCCCAGCGCCGAAUCCCGCGCCCGUAACGGGCGUAGGGAAAUGUGGCGUUUAGGAGAAGCGCUACCUGCGGUUUCGGUACCGGUGCAAGUCCUCGUGACUGGGGCUCUUACCCGGAGAGGGUGCAAGGCCCAUAGCUGCCGGAUGCCGCCGCGGGAAGCGAACUCCUUGGAGUCGGGUUGCUUGAGAGUGCAAUCCUAAGUGGGUGGUAAACUCCAUCUAAGGCUAAAUACUGCCCCGAGACCGAUAGCGAACAAGUACCGUGAGGGAAAGUUGAAAAGAACUUUGAAGAGAGAGUUCAAGAGUACGUGAAACCGCAUAGAGGUAAACGGAUGGAACCUCGAAGGUGCACGUCGGGGGGAUUCAGUCAGACGUCUACCGGGGUGGUGGCGGUUGCCGGACUUUCUGCGAAAGCCGCUCCGCCGUCGCUCACCGGGAUCGUCUGGCGCAUUUCCUCCCGUUCGAGCUACGUCGCAACCGGUUGGGUCACUGAAAGUCUCCGCCGUAAGUGCGGGCGACGGAAGGUGGCGGGCUGCUGAUUCUGUCGGCGGCCCGUGUUAUAUCCUGUCCGCAUGGACGAGAUCGCCCGACCGGGGAUAACCUUAGGCCCUUACGGGCCGUGCCGCGCCCACCCCUCUCGGGGGGAGCGGGGUCCCGGUUCCCAGGCGUCACCGUUGUGUCUGUUCCGCCACAAGCUCUGUCUUGUGCGGGCUGGCGGGUGCGUCGUUGGGGUUCUGGGCCCGCGCGGGUGCCGCGGGUUGCGACGAGUAGGUCGGUCACCCAUCCGACCCGUCUUGAAACACGGACCAAGGAGUCUAGCAUGUGCGCAAGUCAUUGGGUCUUGCUCAGGCCCAUAGGCGAAAUGAAAGUGAAGGACGGCUUUAUGUCGACCGAGUUGGGAUCCCUCUCCCCUCGUGGGAAGGGCGCACCAACGGCCCGAUCCAACGCCGCCACGUCGGCGGGUCGGAGCUCGAGCGCACACGCUAGUACCCGAAAGAUGGUGAGCUAUGCCUGGGCAGGACGAAGCCAGAGGAAACUCUGGUGGAGGUCCGCAGCGAUUCUGACGUGCAAAUCGAUCGUCAGACCUGGGUAUAGGGGCGAAAGACUAAUC
RNAcentral lists this ribosomal RNA (1140 nucleotides) under Nemastoma hankiewiczii. Its description in RNAcentral is "eukaryotic LSU rRNA". It matches the Rfam family "Eukaryotic large subunit ribosomal RNA", at positions 76 to 936 of the family's 3401-position model. The record is from RNAcentral. Lineage: Eukaryota; Metazoa; Arthropoda; Arachnida; Opiliones; Nemastomatidae.